UGUUUAACUACCAACAAAACGUUAUGGGGAGAAGGUAAAUGCGAUAAUCCAUAGAUUUCCUAAAUUGAAAACAAAGAAUAAUACUAUUUUUAAAUAAUAAUUUAAAAAUAAAAACUUGAAGAACUGAAACAUCUAAGUAUUCAAAGGAAAAAAUUAUACCGUUAGUACUGGUGAGGGAAUAUGGUAAUUGACUGGAGACAGAAAAAGAAAUUUAUUAUGGUACGGUCUAGCCUAUAAAAAUUAUUUGGACAACUCAAACUUUUAUUAUAUUACGUCAAUGAAUAAAAACCAAAGAAGGUAAUAGUCCUGUAGAGAUAAUUUCAAAUAAUUUUUUAAGUAAAAUGUUAUAUGUUUAAUAAUAUUUGAAAAUAGCAAAAACUUUUGCUGGCUUAAAUAUUACUUAUAAUCGAUAGUGCACUAGUAACGAAAGUGAAAGUUGAAAAAGGUUCCAUUAUUGGAGAAUUGAAGAUAGAAACUGAAAUUUCAAACCUAUUAGUGGUUAUAGCUUUUUCAUAAGUAAAAUUAUGAGGAUAAAAGUGGUAGCGUACCUUUUGCAUAAGGGUCCAACAAGUUAAUUUGUAUAGCAAGCUUAACUAAAUGAGGCGCAAAGAAAUUAAGUUUGAAAUAUAGCAAAAUAGUUAUACGAAUUAGACCCGAAACCAAAGGAUCUAACUGUGAGCAAGCUGAAGAUAAUGCAUAAUUAUUGGAAGGCUCAACCCGUGUUUGUUGCAAAAAAUUGGGAUGACUUGCAGUUUGGAGUGAAAGCUAAUCGACUUUGGUGAUAGCUGGUUUUCUGCGAAAACUAUUUAGGUAGUACGUUGUAAAGUUUGACAAAUAAGGUAAAGUACUUAUUAAUUUAGGGGAAGUUAUUAACUUCUUUGACGUUAGUAAAACUUAGAAUUAAUUUGUAAUAAAUUUAUAGCAGACAGACAUGUGACGCGAAGGCCAUGUGUCAAGAGGGAAACAGCCCAGACCAUAAGCUAAAGUCCCUAAUCAAUAUUAAGUGUAAAGGUUUUUUUUCAUAAUGAUUCAUAGGUAAGUUUGCUUAGAGGCAGCAAUCUUUUAAAGAAAGCGUAACAGCUCGCCAAUGGUAGCGAAAAAUACUGAAAAUUUUCGGGACUAAAAUAUUGAACUGAAGCUAUGGAAUACUUGUACAGGAAAUUGGUAGCAGAAUGUUUUGUAAGUUUGGAAAGAUAAGUUAACGAAAUUUAUUGAAGAUAUCAAAAGUAUGAAUGUUGGAAUAAGUAGCUUAAUCCAAUGUAAAGUAGCCACAAUGAUGGUAACUUUUUAGUUAAUCCUAAUCAUUGGCGCCGAAAGACUAAGGGUUUCGUUGUAUAGUGUGUAACAAUGAGUUAGUCGGCCCCUAAGAUUAAGGUAAAAACCGAUAUUAAUGGGUAAUUUUUUAAUAUUAAAAUACUUGAUUUAUAUAAAAAAUUAUAAAGUGACAGAUAUUUAUAAAAUUUAAAUACUUUAUACUUUUAGUAUUAUUUUUAUAUUUAUCUCUAGAAAUAACUAUAUAAAAAACAUAAUAAAUAUGUAAAAUAUAAUGAUAACCGUACUUAUAACCACCUCCGGUAGUCGGGUAGAGUAUACUAAGGCGUGUGUAUGAAAGAAGUCUAAGGAACUCGGCAAAAUGGCCCUGUAACUUCGGGAGAAAGGGUGCUUUUCCUUAUAUAGGUUUAAAAAUAUAUUUGUAUAUUUUGACCGACUUACGGCAUAAGUUUAAAGUGACACAUAAUCGAAAGUGGCGACUGUUUAAUAAAAACACAGGACAAUGCUAAAUAGAAAUAUGAUGUAUAUUGUCUGACUCCUGCCCAGUGCUUGAAAGUAAAAGUGGAUAUAUUAAAUUAUAUUUAUAUAAGCUCAAGUAAACGGCGGCUGUAACCUUGACGGUCUUAAGUAGCGAAAUCCCUAGUCAAUUAAUUGUUGACGCGCAUGAAUGGAGUAACGACUGCUUUACUGUCUCGGGCUUCAGUACAGCGAAAAUAUAAUAUUCGUGAAGAUACGACUUUCCUAUAGUGGGACGGAAAGACCCUAUGCAGCUUUACUAUACUCUUAAAGUGUUUGAAAUUUCUUGAUUAUGUAGCAUAGGUAAUAGCUUAUGAAUACUCAACGCUAGUUGAUUUAUUAGGCAAAAAUUGAAAUAUUAUCUUAUCAAAAAUUUUGGACUAAUGAAAAAGACAUUUUAUGAUUGGUAGUUUCACUGGGGCGGUGACCUCCUAAAAUGUAACGGAGGUGUACAAAGGUAAAUUUAUAAAUUAAGUGUAAUGGCUAAAAUUUGCUUGACUGAUAAAAAGACAUUUAUGUCAGGGACGCAAGUCUGUCAUAGUGAUCCA
This 2336-nucleotide ribosomal RNA is filed under the name Candidatus Riesia sp. Its description in RNAcentral is "partial 23S ribosomal RNA". It matches the Rfam family "Bacterial large subunit ribosomal RNA", at positions 57 to 2422 of the family's 2925-position model. Lineage: Bacteria; Pseudomonadati; Pseudomonadota; Gammaproteobacteria; Enterobacterales; Enterobacteriaceae. The record is from RNAcentral.